This 1588-nucleotide long non-coding RNA is filed under the name Homo sapiens (human). RNAcentral describes it as "non-protein coding lnc-SERPINB9-1:2". The record is from RNAcentral. Lineage: Eukaryota; Metazoa; Chordata; Mammalia; Primates; Hominidae.
GAGAGUUCUGGCGAGGGCUGCGGGAAGGAAAGGGGGCGGCGUCCUUCACAGGGAGGGUGCAGCUGACCUCCCUCCCCUUGUGCAGACUGGAAAAGAAUGGCCCAGAUCCUCUGGACUCCUCAGAUGAGCGGAUUCAGAGAGAAGCUUUUGAGAGCGUGCUGGCGGAGACAUUUUUCACAAAAGAGCCCUUGCGGUGCUGGUGUCCGUGGCGUGCCUGGAGCAAAGAUAGCAAUUCUUAAGGCCUGUUAUCUAUUAGUUACCCUUGCCUUGGCGGCAGACACAGCUGAGUCCUAACGCAGACUUUUCCAUAUCCCCUCUCCCGCCUCAACAGUGAUCUCUCCUCCCACUUCGAGAGUUAAUUCAGUGCUGCUUUAGCUUUACGCCCCCAUGAAAACAGGAAAACGGUUUGCAGCUUUAUCAUAACCUUGCUUAUGUCUGUUGUUGUAUGUCUCAAAUACCCUGUCCUCAGGAAGGCCCACCAACGCUGGCCGGCCUCCAAGCACCCGGGCCUCUGCUCAUGUACAGCUCCUGAACUGCCCUGCCUCUGAGUUACUGUGGAAAAUGAGCUUAUAUAUGAAGAAGUCAGCGAGUGGACAAAGCCAGGCGCAAUGGAUAGCAAAGAUGUGGAAGUCUCCUCGAUUCAAGUUACAAGAAAACCGCAGCAUGGAGUCUGCUCUCAGCUGUUGGGGAAUUACCGAUGCCUUUGACUAAGUCAAGACUGACUUUUCCAGAAUAUCACCCAAGAGAUAGAGCCGUCCCUGUCCAAGUUUGUGCGCUAGCCCUUCAUGGAGGUCAGAGAGGAAGAAACAAAGGCAGCUGUGGCCUCGGCGGUCACAGUGUCAGAACGCACAAGCCCCAUAAAGAGGUUUCACGCAGGCCACCCAUCCCUUUUCAUUCUCCAGCAGAACAGGACAGAGAGCGUUCUGUUCUGCGGAAGGUCUUCCACUCUACAAGGCAAUCCCUCCAGCUGCUUUGCUGUAUUGUGCUGUCUCCUGUCACACUAUGAAUGCAGUGACCUCAGCCAGCAACAGGGAGAACCCCCCUGCCUCCCGAACAAAGGACCUCACGUGAAAUCCUGAGCUCAGAGCUUACAGAUAUGUGUGCGCUUUCACUUUACAUCGGCCGUGACUUCCAAACAACUUCAGGAAACUUUAGGAUCUCUGAGGUAUACUGGAGAUGACAGCAGCGUAGAAUGUUCAUUUGGAUUUAGAACAGAAAUGCUUAUUUUAUAUUUGGCUGCUCCCAAACUGUCCCCAGACUUCCUCUCCAGUGGUUACCCUCCACUGCCCUGGAUGUCCCACGUUUACACUCCACACUCACACCUCCACCUUAACAAAGUCCUCCACUGGGUCAAACCAUACAUCGCUUCGUCUCUGUAGUGAUGACUUCCUGUCCUCUGCUCUGUGGAUAAAGACCCCAGAUAAAGAUGCCUGUGUUGCUCAACUCUUGUAAAUACUCUUGAGACAUUUUGAAAGCAGAAGGAAAGGAGACAGACGGGGAAAAUAAAAGGGAUGGUCUGCUUGUGCGGAAACGUUUUGAGAAUGCCCUUCCCUAAGAGAGAACAGUAAAAGUGAGCAAUACUUCCUGA